AGAUUAAGUUAUUAAGGGCGCACGGUGGAUGCCUUGGCACUAGAAGCCGAUGAAGGACGUUACUAACGACGAUAUGCUUUGGGGAGCUGUAAGUAAGCUUUGAUCCAGAGAUUUCCGAAUGGGGAAACCCAGCAUGAGUUAUGUCAUGUUAUCGAUAUGUGAAUACAUAGCAUAUCAGAAGGCACACCCGGAGAACUGAAACAUCUUAGUACCCGGAGGAAGAGAAAGAAAAUUCGAUUCCCUUAGUAGCGGCGAGCGAAACGGGAAGAGCCCAAACCAACAAGCUUGCUUGUUGGGGUUGUAGGACACUCUAUACGGAGUUACAAAGGACGACAUUAGACGAAUCAUCUGGAAAGAUGAAUCAAAGAAGGUAAUAAUCCUGUAGUCGAAAAUGUUGUCUCUCUUGAGUGGAUCCUGAGUACGACGGAGCACGUGAAAUUCCGUCGGAAUCUGGGAGGACCAUCUCCUAAGGCUAAAUACUCUCUAGUGACCGAUAGUGAACCAGUACCGUGAGGGAAAGGUGAAAAGCACCCCGGAAGGGGAGUGAAAUAGAACCUGAAACCGUGUGCUUACAAGUAGUCAGAGCCCGUUAAUGGGUGAUGGCGUGCCUUUUGUAGAAUGAACCGGCGAGUUACGAUUUGAUGCAAGGUUAAGCAGUAAAUGUGGAGCCGUAGCGAAAGCGAGUCUGAAUAGGGCGUUUAGUAUUUGGUCGUAGACCCGAAACCAGGUGAUCUACCCUUGGUCAGGUUGAAGUUCAGGUAACACUGAAUGGAGGACCGAACCGACUUACGUUGAAAAGUGAGCGGAUGAACUGAGGGUAGCGGAGAAAUUCCAAUCGAACCUGGAGAUAGCUGGUUCUCUCCGAAAUAGCUUUAGGGCUAGCCUCAAGUGAUGAUUAUUGGAGGUAGAGCACUGUUUGGACGAGGGGCCCCUCUCGGGUUACCGAAUUCAGACAAACUCCGAAUGCCAAUUAAUUUAACUUGGGAGUCAGAACAUGGGUGAUAAGGUCCGUGUUCGAAAGGGAAACAGCCCAGACCACCAGCUAAGGUCCCAAAAUAUAUGUUAAGUGGAAAAGGAUGUGGCGUUGCCCAGACAACUAGGAUGUUGGCUUAGAAGCAGCCAUCAUUUAAAGAGUGCGUAAUAGCUCACUAGUCGAGUGACACUGCGCCGAAAAUGUACCGGGGCUAAACAUAUUACCGAAGCUGUGGAUUGUCCUUUGGACAAUGGUAGGAGAGCGUUCUAAGGGCGUUGAAGCAUGAUCGUAAGGACAUGUGGAGCGCUUAGAAGUGAGAAUGCCGGUGUGAGUAGCGAAAGACGGGUGAGAAUCCCGUCCGCCGAUUGACUAAGGUUUCCAGAGGAAGGCUCGUCCGCUCUGGGUUAGUCGGGUCCUAAGCUGAGGCCGACAGGCGUAGGCGAUGGAUAACAGGUUGAUAUUCCUGUACCACCUAUAAUCGUUUUAAUCGAUGGGGGGACGCAGUAGGAUAGGCGAAGCGUGCGAUUGGAUUGCACGUCUAAGCAGUAAGGCUGAGUAUUAGGCAAAUCCGGUACUCAUUAAGGCUGAGCUGUGAUGGGGAGAAGACAUUGUGUCUUCGAGUCGUUGAUUUCACACUGCCGAGAAAAGCCUCUAGAUAGAAAAUAGGUGCCCGUACCGCAAACCGACACAGGUAGUCAAGAUGAGAAUUCUAAGGUGAGCGAGCGAACUCUCGUUAAGGAACUCGGCAAAAUGACCCCGUAACUUCGGGAGAAGGGGUGCUCUUUAGGGUUAACGCCCAGAAGAGCCGCAGUGAAUAGGCCCAAGCGACUGUUUAUCAAAAACACAGGUCUCUGCUAAACCGUAAGGUGAUGUAUAGGGGCUGACGCCUGCCCGGUGCUGGAAGGUUAAGAGGAGUGGUUAGCUUCUGCGAAGCUACGAAUCGAAGCCCCAGUAAACGGCGGCCGUAACUAUAACGGUCCUAAGGUAGCGAAAUUCCUUGUCGGGUAAGUUCCGACCCGCACGAAAGGCGUAACGAUUUGGGCACUGUCUCAACGAGAGACUCGGUGAAAUCAUAGUACCUGUGAAGAUGCAGGUUACCCGCGACAGGACGGAAAGACCCCGUGGAGCUUUACUGUAGCCUGAUAUUGAAAUUCGGCACAGCUUGUACAGGAUAGGUAGGAGCCUUUGAAACGUGAGCGCUAGCUUACGUGGAGGCGCUGGUGGGAUACUACCCUAGCUGUGUUGGCUUUCUAACCCGCACCACUUAUCGUGGUGGGAGACAGUGUCAGGCGGGCAGUUUGACUGGGGCGGUCGCCUCCUAAAAGGUAACGGAGGCGCUCAAAGGUUCCCUCAGAAUGGUUGGAAAUCAUUCAUAGAGUGUAAAGGCAUAAGGGAGCUUGACUGCGAGACCUACAAGUCGAGCAGGGUCGAAAGACGGACUUAGUGAUCCGGUGGUUCCGCAUGGAAGGGCCAUCGCUCAACGGAUAAAAGCUACCCCGGGGAUAACAGGCUUAUCUCCCCCAAGAGUUCACAUCGACGGGGAGGUUUGGCACCUCGAUGUCGGCUCAUCGCAUCCUGGGGCUGUAGUCGGUCCCAAGGGUUGGGCUGUUCGCCCAUUAAAGCGGUACGCGAGCUGGGUUCAGAACGUCGUGAGACAGUUCGGUCCCUAUCCGUCGUGGGCGUAGGAAAUUUGAGAGGAGCUGUCCUUAGUACGAGAGGACCGGGAUGGACAUACCUCUGGUGUACCAGUUGUCGUGCCAACGGCAUAGCUGGGUAGCUAUGUGUGGACGGGAUAAGUGCUGAAAGCAUCUAAGCAUGAAGCCCCCCUCAAGAUGAGAUUUCCCAACUUCGGUUAUAAGAUCCCUCAAAGAUGAUGAGGUUAAUAGGUUCGAGGUGGAAGCAUGGUGACAUGUGGAGCUGACGAAUACUAAUCGAUCGAAGACUUAAUCAAAUU
This 2927-nucleotide ribosomal RNA is filed under the name Staphylococcus aureus. RNAcentral's name for it is "bacterial LSU rRNA". It matches the Rfam family "Bacterial large subunit ribosomal RNA". The record is from RNAcentral. Lineage: Bacteria; Bacillati; Bacillota; Bacilli; Caryophanales; Staphylococcaceae.